GUCUAACCCUAGCCAAUAGGGGAACGACACAGCAGCAGGGGCCACGUGCAUCAGGAAUAAGAACCCCUUUCCCACCCAGGUGUGUUCUCGCUAUUGUUCCAUCUGCAACUGAGCACCUUUUCUGCAGAAAGUAAAGACAGCCUUGCUAAGAGAUCAUUUGUCUCCAAGCUGACUUUUCUUUGCAGCACCGAUUAUCUAUUUCUAACAAUUUUGGGGGCUCGUCCAGGAUUACAGUCUCCUCUAGGGUGGGUCUCCAGUCCUCUCUUGUGAGAAGGCAUGCCCCACUACCUCGUUUUUGGCAGCCUCAGGGGUGAGGAACCGAGAUCCACCCAGUGUGAUGAAUAAACUGGGACUCUCAGCAACGUGGAAAGAAACUGGCUAGCAACGUAGGGUAAAGGAUCCUCACAUACUGCGGUAAUGACUCUGCACAGACCAAGGAAGGAGAAACCAUGGGAGCUGGUCUUUCAGCAGAGGCGCCGCCUUUGGAGUUUCCAGUACAUCAGCAUCGGCCUGGGGAUCACGUUCUCAUCAAAGGGUGGAAAGAAGGGAAACUUGAGCCAGCCUGGGAAGGACCCUGCAUUGUGCUGCUAACCACCGAGAUUGCUGUUUGUACAGCAGAAAAGGAUGGACACAUCACACCCUAGUCAAGCAAGUGCCAUUAUCAUCAGAAUCAUGGGUCAUUGUUCCUGGACAAUCCUCUACCAAAUUAAACCUAAAAAAAGCUUAGUCCAUCUAUCUUUUCCUUUCCUUUCCUUACCCAGUGCUUAUAUCCAUUACUAUUCCUACCACUAGCAACUCUUACCCCACUUUAGAGCACUUCUAUGGUUUAGGAGCAGAAGUCACUGGAAAGGAUCCUAUAGGCUUCUUCAAGGUAUGCUUUGUUCUCCCUCCUCCACCUCCUAUGGCUGCCCCUUUCCCAAACCUAUGAAAUCAAACUAUGACUCGCCUCAUGCCAAGUGACAAAAGCAAGGUCUCAGUAGUAGAAAUAGGAGACCUAAGGCAAACCAUAGCCAUUGAAACAGGGUAUAAAGAUGUAAAUGCCUGGUUAAAAUGGAUUAAAUGUUCUGUCCACAUGUUAAACAAAGGCAAUUGUUAUGCUUGUGUGCACUGCAGGCCAGAGGCCCAGAUUGUCCCCUUUCUACUAGGGCGGUCCUCCAGUCGACCGGGCGUGGGCUGCAUGGCAGCUCUCUUACAGGAUUCUACAGCCUGCGGUAACAAGUUGUGCCAAGUUCUCUCUCUGCUAUAUCCCAAAUUUCAACACCCUGCAGGUCAGCCCCCGAGGGCCAUCCAGCUUCCAUCUCCCAACACAAAGUUCACUAAGUGUCUCAGACUGAGAGACAGGACUAGCUGGAUUUCCUAGGCUGACUAAGAAUCCCUAAGCCUAGCUGAGAAGGUGACCACAUCCACUUUUAAACACGGGGCUUGCAACUGAGCUUACACCUGACCAAUCAGAG
Molecule: long non-coding RNA, 1454 nt
Filed under: Homo sapiens (human)
Lineage: Eukaryota; Metazoa; Chordata; Mammalia; Primates; Hominidae
Description: HSALNT0090510
Source: RNAcentral